UACAGAGGUCCCAAGCGUUGUUCGGAUUCACUGGGCGUAAAGGGUGCGUAGGUGGUGGGGUAAGUCUCGUGUGAAAGCUCGCGGCUCAACCGCGAAAAGUCACGGGAUACUAUUCUGCUGGAGGGUUGGAGGGGGGACUGGAAUUCUCGGUGUAGCAGUGAAAUGCGUAGAUAUCGAGAGGAACACCAGUGGCGAAGGCGAGUCCCUGGACAACACCUGACACUGAGGCACGAAAGCUAGGGGAGCAAACAGG
Molecule: ribosomal RNA, 253 nt
Filed under: uncultured bacterium
Lineage: Bacteria
Description: partial 16S ribosomal RNA
Rfam family: Bacterial small subunit ribosomal RNA
Source: RNAcentral